GGUACUCAGUUCGGAUUGAAGGCUGAAAUUCGCCUUCAUGAAGCUGGAAUUGCUAGUAAUGGCAGGUCAGCAUACUGCCGUGAAUACGUUCCCGGGCCUUGUACACACCGCCCGUCACACCAUGAGAGUUGGAAAUACCCGAAGCCUGUGAGCUAACUUUUAGAGGCAGUAGUCGAAGGUAGAAUCAAUGAUUGGGGUGAAGUCGUAACAAGGUAUC
RNAcentral lists this ribosomal RNA (217 nucleotides) under uncultured bacterium. RNAcentral describes it as "partial 16S ribosomal RNA". It matches the Rfam family "Bacterial small subunit ribosomal RNA", at positions 1283 to 1500 of the family's 1533-position model. The record is from RNAcentral.